This is a long non-coding RNA of Canis lupus familiaris (dog), 597 nucleotides long. RefSeq lists it as uncharacterized. The record is from RefSeq and is a predicted model, not a curated record. The transcript is spliced from 4 exons. NCBI's taxonomy places the organism in Eukaryota, Metazoa, Chordata, Mammalia, Carnivora, Canidae.
ACGGGCAAAAGAUAGUGGGGAGGGGAGAGCAUGAUUUUAUUUUCUCUCAAGUAGCCAGGCUUUCUCCUGAUUUGAAAAACUGUUAACUCCCCCUAAGAGGGAACAGUCUCAUAGCCAGGAAUAGCAUGGGUGGGGCAUUGCACAGAAAGACAGAUGGUUGCUCUCUAGGCUGCAACUUGCACCAGGCACAAUGCUGUGGCUCAGAGUCAUGCACAUUUCCUGAAUUUGCUCUCACCUUCCCUGAUAUUUAUGUGAAUUUGAUCAAGGAAUUUUAAGAAUACAAGGUAAGUCUUGAGCCUCAGCACAAACUCAAAGUGCAAAAGAAGAUUUUCCUCUAGAAACAAAAAACAUUGACAAGUUCAGUGUAUCUUGCAAGAUCUAUCAGCUAGGACAUGAUCCAUGAUCCAUAUUUCAUCAGUCAUUUACAUCAACCCACGUAGACCCAGGAGUUAAUGAUGUCAAGAAUCAGAAACCUUGUAGGAAUCUGUCUCUGGAAGCAGAAGUAGUUACAGCCAGACUGAGUUCCUGGCUCAACAGCUGGGACCAUGCAAAAUCAGCUGUUUCAUGGCAGCAGGAGUAGUUUCCUUGCCAGAGCAG